Molecule: ribosomal RNA, 550 nt
Filed under: uncultured bacterium
Lineage: Bacteria
Description: bacterial SSU rRNA
Rfam family: Bacterial small subunit ribosomal RNA
Source: RNAcentral
UAGGGAAUCUUCGGCAAUGGACGGAAGUCUGACCGAGCAACGCCGCGUGAGGGAAGAAGGUUUUCGGAUCGUAAAGCUCUGUUGUAAGAGAAGAACGAGUGUGAGAGUGGAAAGUUCACACUGUGACGGUAUCUUACCAGAAAGGGACGGCUAACUACGUGCCAGCAGCCGCGGUAAUACGUAGGUCCCGAGCGUUGUCCGGAUUUAUUGGGCGUAAAGCGAGCGCAGGCGGUUAGAUAAGUCUGAAGUUAAAGGCUGUGGCUUAACCAUAGUAGGCUUUGGAAACUGUUUAACUUGAGUGCAAGAGGGGAGAGUGGAAUUCCAUGUGUAGCGGUGAAAUGCGUAGAUAUAUGGAGGAACACCGGUGGCGAAAGCGGCUCUCUGGCUUGUAACUGACGCUGAGGCUCGAAAGCGUGGGGAGCAAACAGGAUUAGAUACCCUGGUAGUCCACGCUGUAAACGAUGAGUGCUAGGUGUUAGACCCUUUCCGGGGUUUAGUGCCGUAGCUAACGCAUUAAGCACUCCGCCUGGGGAGUACGACCGCAAGGUUG